This is a long non-coding RNA of Neofelis nebulosa (Clouded leopard), 2072 nucleotides long. RefSeq lists it as uncharacterized. NCBI's taxonomy places the organism in Eukaryota, Metazoa, Chordata, Mammalia, Carnivora, Felidae. The record is from RefSeq and is a predicted model, not a curated record. The transcript is spliced from 4 exons.
GAGAGACUGCUGCGGAACUGGAAAGAUGGGCGCUCGGAGCCGGUGGCAGCGGCGGCUUAUUUACACGGAUACACCACCCCUUUCACUUAGGCUGGACGCCACGUAGCCCUGGGGAAGGGUUUUGCCGACGUACCCGGAACGAAUUCUAAGUUUUUCUCAGCUUUGGGAGGUUGCGCAGGUGGCUUCUGGGAGCCAAGGCAACUGAGGUUUUCCCAGGCUCCUUGAGAGAGUGCCCUAUUUCCCCGGCAGCAGUAGCUCCAGGGUCCCGUUCUGCAGUCCGUAAUGAGAGGCCUCGGGCUCCGCGGGGAAGCGUCGCAGUUCGUGGAAGAGUCCCGAGCGCAGCAAAUCCGCUCGCUCCCCGCGGGGCCGCCGCUCUCGCUCGCACUCUUGCUCUCGGUCCGGGAACCGGAAUGGCCUGGGCCCCCAGCGGAGUGGCCUCAGCCUGGCCUCCCGGAACCAGCCCUGCCGACCCGUUAGCGGUCACGUUCUCCGGAGCGGCCCCCUGCGUCGCGGGGCACCCCCUUCGCCUCUGCCUCCUCGUCCGCCUGUCGCGGCCGCUCCCCGCGCCCCUCCGGGACCGAUAAGCCGUGGGUCUCUGGGACAAGGAGAGGGAGAGGAAAGGCCAUGUAAGGACACAGGGAGAAGUCACCAGUCUGCAAGCCAGGAAAUUUCUACCAGAAAUCAGUCCUGAUCUUGGACUACUAACCUCCAGUAUGUUCAGCUUUGAUGAACACACACCAGUAGAGAUGAAGAGCCAAAGAAAAGCACCACUUCUGUUUCUACUUCAAAAGAAGAAGAAGAGGAAGUCUAGUCAUUCAAAAGAAAGGUCCAAGAAAAAGAGAAAGAAAAAAUCAUCUAAAAGAAAACGCAAGAAGUAUUCUGACAGCGACAGUGACUCUGACUCUGAAACGGACUCCAGUGGUAAGAAGGCCGGCAUCGCUCUGCAAGCCUGGCUUCACGACUCAUUCUACUUAGAAUUUAUUUCCAAAGAAGGUUCUUAAACGCGGUAACGGCAGCCAAGAGUUGUGGAACGCUCGCUGCCUCCGUGCCAGGCACCCUGCCAAGCGCUCGGUGUUCGUUGUCGCUGCUUGCCCCGCGCGGUAACUGUGGAAUGUGUCCUAGAGCCGGGGACGCGGGGCCCAGAGCAGCUGGUAAGCGCGGCACUCAGGGUCGCACAGCUGGGAUUCAAGCCCGAGCAGCGUGGCUCCCGACUGGCUGUGUGUGGCUGCACAAGGCGUGUGGAAGCGAACCGGGGCGAGGUUGGGCUGGGAGACGUGUGGCAGCGAGCAAGCCAUAGGGCCGCGUCGGCCCCGAGGAGCGGCCCUUGUGUGUCAUCCUCACGCUCGGUGGGCACCUCGGUGCCGUUGUCAAAAAGGCACAUCCUAGGGGCGCCUGGGGGGCUCAGUCGGUUAAGCAUCUGAGUUCGGCUCAGGUCAUGAUCUUGUGGUUCAUGAGUUCAAGCCCCGCGUCGGGCUCUAUGCUAAUAGCUCGGAGCCCGGAGCCUGCUUCAGAUUCUGUGUCUCCUUCUCUCUUUGCCCCUCUUCUGCUCACACUCCAUCUCUCUCUCUCUCUCUCUCUCAAAAAUAAAUAAACAUUAAAAAAAUUAAAAAUAAAUAAAUAAAAAGGCACAUCAUAAAGGACCCUUUCGGGCCAGCAGCUGGUUUAUGGAAGACACCCCCUGUGGGGUGGUGCCUCUCAAAAAGCCACCUUUUUGUGCCCUCUCCUGGCUGAUGAUUGACCAGAGGGUGCCACCUCUGGGGACACAUGACAUGAAGGUGUCUUUUCCUCUGAUGUCACCUGGGUUUCCUGGCCCCCGUUGUCACUUUUCUUCCUCACUGCUGGAAGAGCGAACUUCCUUAGAGCACAGGUGUGAGCGUGUCUGUCCCCUACUUACAAUCCUUCAGUGGCUCUCUGUGGCCUUCAGGGUAAAGUUUGGACCCUGCUGGCUCUCUGUCUAAUCACACGUGCCCUGUCACUCUUGCAGCGUCCUCUGUAGCCUGAGAUGUGCUUUCCGUCUCCUCAGUAGUCCGUGUUCUUUCUCUCGCUUCUGUUACUUGGUACAGAAGUCCAUC